This is a long non-coding RNA of Acyrthosiphon pisum (pea aphid), 1893 nucleotides long. RefSeq lists it as uncharacterized. The record is from RefSeq and is a predicted model, not a curated record. The transcript is spliced from 2 exons. Lineage: Eukaryota; Metazoa; Arthropoda; Insecta; Hemiptera; Aphididae.
UGGUUUUGGGCUUUUAAUAAAGUGAAAAUUUGUAUAUUGUUGGUUAUUUGGUCGGAUACCUAUAUUCUCACUGUUCACGUAAGUUAUUUUUUAAACCGGUGGCAUAUUCCGCGUCAAAACAAGGAUCAGCUGAUUUUGGUGCGACGCGCCAUAGUUGUUUUCGGUUCUAUGGUUUAAGAACUUGAACCUUGGUUUAAGAACUUAAACCGUGGUCUACGGUUUCCGCCUUCCGCGUCCGUACGAGCCGUUGAACACCGAACAGCCAAUGGAAUAUGUCGUUAUUAUUAACGGUUUCGACUUUGCGUGCUUGCCCCCGGACUGUGUUAUUUGUCGUCCGUAUUCCGUACUCCCUCGUUGUGAUUCUUGUCCGUGUGGAACACACUUGCGUCUUUCACACCGGACAGCGAUUCUCGCUUCUCCGCCGACGAUUGGCCGCCAUUAUGAGUAUAUAGUAUACCGUUGUUGUUACUUUUUACCACGUUAUGUGUGCUUAAGUUUGGUGCUGGAGUCGGUGGUUUGUUUUGUUCUUUAAGUGUGCGCGGUUGAAAUAAAUAUCAUCGUACGCCGCUCGCGACAAUGAUUCUAAAUGCGUUUACGUUGACGCCGAUCUGUCGUGUGUCGCCAUUUUAUCGCGAGCUGCUGCAACUCCAUGUGUUGCCGUGUGUCGAUCACGUGUUUUUUUAUGCGUUACGCGAUCGUCGACGUUGACAUCGUCACCCACCGGCAUUGUGCAUACCUAUUUUGUCGAAUCCGCGUGUGUCGAGUAACGUGCCGUUAUUACUAUCCGUCGUCGUCCGUCGAGGAUAGUAGUGCAUUCACCAUUACACGUGCCCACGCCGCCGACCUGUUCGAGUCGUUGACCGUGUCCAUACCGCUAUCGUGCAAUUUACCAUUGCGCGAAUGUCGAAUUAUGGUAGGUUAAGCUACGGUUUUCCUGCACCGUCACACAGUGGAACAGCACGGCUGCGUCGGACGCGGACCUACGUCCAGACGCUGCAGGGAAAACGUACCUAAACUCGUCGCGGUGUCCGAUGUGCGCGUCUUAUUACCGGUACCCACGUGUCCAAUAUUCAUGCUGCCGACUUGUGUUUGUGACUUGGUGUCACGCGUGUCACGCUGCUCGGCUCAUUCACCUUGCCCUGUUCCUAAGCGUGUCAGAAUUAUCGGGCCAAGACGUUUCCCGUAUGCUCUGAUGUUGAGCCGACAUCCGAUCGCCACCACUCGAGACUCACUGGAUGUUUUCACCGGUCGUCGUAGUUCAUACAUUAAGAAUUGCAUUGAACAAUAAGAUGUUUUCUUAUAUUUUCAAAUUUGAAUGAUCUACGGUUAUUUGACAGAAGAGUUUUGUAUGCCGAGAAUGACUGCUCAAGUGCCAACAUCGAAAGACAUCACGGGUGCGUACUUAAAAAAUGCCAAGUCGUUACUACUUAAAUCUUCAGAAAGCCUAUCUAAAUUUCUGGAUGUUUCUUCAUUCGUUAGAACUUGUGACAUUUUUACCAACACUGAGAGAUCGUGGCGUUGUCUUCAUUACUUACCUGUACCUACACUUAAAGAAAUUAGUUUGAAUUUUACUUUUUUUUUUAUUGAUUUCCCAUGCAACUGGUCGGCAGAGUUAUUUAACUUUAAUGAAGCAUUAAUAUAUUUUUUAAAUAUCACUUUUUAUAAUUUUGGAAGUGCGGGUUUUACCUGGGUUUUCAUUUUUAUGCAUGGCCCACCACGUUUGACAUAUUUUUCUUUUCUAUAAAUUAUAAAAAUAAUAAUUUGUUAAAAUAAUAAGUAGCUUACACAAUUAAUAUUGGGUUCAUCGUACACAUUACUAGCACUAAAGUUCCUAUAUAAGGAGGGAGUGGACAGCGGUUCUUAUCAUGAUUUUAUGGGAGAUGGGUUGUACCA